Microcebus murinus (gray mouse lemur) is the source of this 566-nucleotide long non-coding RNA. RefSeq lists it as uncharacterized. Lineage: Eukaryota; Metazoa; Chordata; Mammalia; Primates; Cheirogaleidae. The record is from RefSeq and is a predicted model, not a curated record.
CUCUGCCCAAGGUUCGUCCGGCAUUAACGUUCCCUCAUAAGUAAUGUUUCCUUCCGGACGAACUUUCCGCCGGAUCAAUGUUCCGUCCGGGCAACGUUCCGCUGGGAUUACCGUUCGUCUGUGACCAAUGUUACACCAUCUUUUGGGCCUCUCUAGAGCUGGUGAUCUGGGGAAAGCACCCCUGCCUCCCAGCCAGUGGGAUCCCCAUGUGUUAACUCCAGGAAUGUGCACACGCUCUAGACCUGGCCAAUCAGCAUCUUCUGUCCCUCGGGCUGCAGUGAUUGGUUCAGGACCAAACAUGCAACCUGAGCUGGACCAAUGAGAGUUAUAUCUAGUCCUUUUCCAGCCACUUUGAGGAAGAUGCUGAUUUUUUUUUUUUUUAUCUGCCUGAGUUGUCACCUGUUGGGUGGAGCCUGUGGGAUGAUGAAGCCAACCAAGAGAGAAGUUCUGAGAGGGUUGGAGAGAUGGAAAUGGCCACCUGGUCACCAUCACUGCUCUGGUCCAUGCUGAAGCAUCCUUUUCAGAUGAAGAAUAGACCAGCAAUCUGUAUGUAAUUUAUUUCCUAU